Long non-coding RNA from Mustela lutreola (European mink), 3044 nucleotides. RefSeq lists it as uncharacterized. NCBI's taxonomy places the organism in Eukaryota, Metazoa, Chordata, Mammalia, Carnivora, Mustelidae. The transcript is spliced from 3 exons. The record is from RefSeq and is a predicted model, not a curated record.
CUGGGAACCUGCGGGCGCUUUGCAAAGACGCCCACCCGGGGGCGGAGUUGUGGUGACGCUGCUCUGGGCGUAGCAGGGACCCGGGUCCUAGCUCCGGCUGGGCUCUGCCCCUUCAACGUCCAGUCGCUUGACCUCUCUGUGCCAAGAAUGCUUUCCAGCCGUUCUCCAUUUCCAGGAUGCAUGCAAAUCGAACCUUCGCCCACAGUGAGGCUACAUAAGUUCUAAGUGCUCUUGAGUAGGAGAAACUCAAAACAGCCGCAGGAGACAUAAUAAACGGCUUUGGUAAAUUUAGGAAAUUAUUAACUAAAAGCAUCAGAGGGGCUCUCCCAAUACUGACAUACCUGUGGCUACUUAGUUGCGGUGCUAAGCCUCGCUGAGAGCUCAGACCGGCCACCAAAGUUAGCCCAGCGGGAGAUGCAGUUGCUAGGUACCGCACGCCCGACUCUCUGCGGGGUUCUUAGGUAGGGGCGGGCCGACCUGCUAGCUCCACCCCUCUCGGGCCGCCUUACUAAACUGACCUCUCAGCAGAAGCUUAAAAGGAACACAAGGUUGCCACCUGCUGUUGGCCUGGCGCUUCCCAGGCGGAGCCGGAAGCUGCUGGUAACAUAGCUGGGCAGUAGCCUCUGCCGUCCGCGGUGCCUAGCCCGAUGCAGCCUGGUGGGGUUGGGGGAGUGCCACCAAAACGGGAGGCAGCAAUAGGAAGUAGGGAAUUCAUCAAUCCGGCUAAGUUUAGAGCCCUGCUCCUCCAUCCUAGAUGUGUGGCCUUGAGGGAGCUGUUCGACCUGUUUGAGCUUUGGUUUCCUCUAAUGGAAGGCUCUGGUUUCUGUGGUGGGGACACCAAGGCAGUGCCCUUUGAGAUGCCAAGAAAAGCAGAAGUUGCCUGCCGUGGCAGAGUCCUUGCCAACAGCCUGGAGUCCACUACUCCCAAGAUAGGGAUGAGCAGGUCAAGCAAAUAUCCUGGAGCUUUCAAGCACUCCAUCAACUUUCCUGAAGAAGCCUAUAGGAAGCUGCUGAGAGGGAACCACACAUCCCAACCCCUGGUGGUCCGGGCAGGGAGGCUCCUGCGUGAUCCUGAUUCAGGCUACCCCCACCCAGGUCCAGCUUGAGCUGCUCAUAUUCUCUGCUCUGCCGUUUAAAUAACACUGAAGCUGUUUCCAAGGUCAGUGGGCCUGGCCCUAGGAAAGCUGCAGAAGGAAGUCUUCCAUCCCAAACUGUGGUUUCCACUGGGAGUGGCUCUCUGGCCAUUCUGGGGCCAGAUGAGAGAAGCCAUUUAGGCCAAGAAUAGACGAGGGGAGUGGGGCGUUUCCUCUAGCCUUCCUGGUCCUUUAAGUGUCUGAUGUGGUGUCCGGCUCCCCUCCAUUUCUUCCUCCAGCUGGGCCCGGUGUGAAGUGGGGCCCACCCCAGAACCUUGAGAACCAAAGAUAAAUAAGACAGACUCUGUCCUCAGGCUGCUCGCAGAGGAGGCGGGGAGACAGACACAGAACAGGAAGAAACCCUCUGCUGCAGGGAGAUAAGGGUUCUGCUGGGCUGACCAGGGGGCUGGGCCCUGCAAAAGAGAAGGCUUCAGAAGAGAGGGCAAUGAGCUGACUCUUGCUGGAAGGAUAGGACUUUCCAGGUGGGCGAGGAUGCAGCCGGUACCAAGGCCUGGAGGGGUGGAAAGGGGUGGCGUGUUGGGGGAACUCGGCAGCCAGAGCACACUGCGAGACCACGGGGAAGGUGCAGGUUGAGUCAGGGUCCUGAGCCCCAAAUUCAGUCCCUGUUCUGGGUGAGCACCUGCCAUGUCCAGGUGGUGUCUGGAUUGUCUCAGGUUGGGGGCGGGGGCACCUUCACCCUCCUCACCCAUUCCUUCUGAUGCCGGUUCGUACUACUUUGGGCAGAGCAGCCACAAACCAGGAUGUUUACCCUCCUAGGAGCUGAGUCUGCAGAAUGAAAUCCCAGACUUCUCCAAAAAAGAAACCAGGGUGACAGCUGGCAGCUUCAUGAGCAUCUGAAAUCAUAGGAAACUUUGACCAGAGGGGGGAAGAGGGAGGACACCAGCUGGGUUCCUAGGAUGCUUGGCUUCUAACCCAGAGAUCUCAACCCUGGUGGGAAAAACGUUAAUUAAAAAAAAAAAAAAAAAAAACACUUUAAUAAUUUAUGUAUGUCAUGAGAGUCACCUGUUUCAAAUGUACCAGUCAAUGAUUUUGAGUAAAUGUAUAGCCCUGUGCGGCCAUCCCAACUCAGAACAUUUCCAUCACCCCAGAAAAGAGCUCUCGUGACUCGUUUGCCAUCACCCCGUCUUCCCACGCCCCAGACCCGGGUAACCACUACUCGGCUUUCUAUCUGUAUAGAGUUGCUUUUCCUGGACCUUUCGCAUAACGGAACCAUACAGAAUGCAGUGUUUGCCUCCGUUCCUUUACUUUACGUUCUGUAUUUGAGACUAGCCUUGUCUCUGCACCGAUCGGUAUAGUUCAUUGUUUUUUCCUGCUGAAUGGUCCCCUGCCGCACCUAUACAGCUCGUUCUGUUUAAUCUGUUUACGGGGUGCUGGACCUUUGGGUUGUUCUCCACUUUUUGGCUGUUAGGAAUGGUGCUGCCAUGAACAUCCAUGUGCAAGUGUUGGUGUGAGCGUUUGUUUUCCUGUUUGGGGAGUAGACACCCAGAAGCUGGAUAGCUGUGUAUGUAGUUAAGUGUGUGCUUAACUUUAUGAGAAACUGCCAAAGCCCUUCACUAUGUUACGUCCCUAGCAGCAGCAUGUGAAGGUUCUCAUUUCUCCACGUCCUUGCCGAUGCUUGUUACUAUCAGUCUUUUUUUAUUAUAUCCUGUUGAGGAACUUUUUUAAAAAAACACCCACUGAUGCCUGGGCUUCAGCCCAAACCAAUUAAAUCAGAGUUCUGCGGGGGUGCCUGGCAGGUUCAGACCAUGGAGUGUGUGACUCUGGAUCUCAGGGUCCUGACUUGGGCCCCAUGUUGGGCAUGGAGCCUAUUAAAAAAAAAAAAAAUCAGAGGAGCACCUGGCUGGCUCAGUCAGUUAAGUGUCCAACACUUGAUCUCAGCUCAGGUCUUGA